UACGAAGGGUGCAAGCGUUACUCGGAAUUACUGGGCGUAAAGCGUGCGUAGGUGGUUAUUUAAGUCCGUUGUGAAAGCCCUGGGCUCAACCUGGGAACUGCAGUGGAUACUGGAUGACUAGAAUGUGGUAGAGGGUAGCGGAAUUCCUGGUGUAGCAGUGAAAUGCGUAGAGAUCAGGAGGAACAUCCAUGGCGAAGGCAGCUACCUGGACCAACAUUGACACUGAGGCACGAAAGCGUGGGGAGCAAACAGGAUUAGAUACCCUGGUAGUCCACGCCCUAAACGAUGCGAACUGGAUGUUGGGUGCAAUUUGGCACGCAGUAUCGAAGCUAACGCGUUAAGUUCGCCGCCUGGGGAGUACGGUCGCAAGACUGAA
This 376-nucleotide ribosomal RNA is filed under the name uncultured bacterium. RNAcentral's name for it is "bacterial SSU rRNA". It matches the Rfam family "Bacterial small subunit ribosomal RNA", at positions 524 to 898 of the family's 1533-position model. The record is from RNAcentral.